AUUGAACGCUGGCGGCAUGCUUUACACAUGCAAGUCGAACGGCAGCGCGGGCUUCGGCCUGGCGGCGAGUGGCGAACGGGUGAGUAAUACAUCGGAACGUGCCCAGUAGUGGGGGAUAGCUCGGCGAAAGCCGGAUUAAUACCGCAUACGACCUGAGGGUGAAAGCGGGGGAUCUUCGGACCUCGCGCUAUUGGAGCGGCCGAUGGCAGAUUAGCUAGUUGGUGGGGUAAAGGCCUACCAAGGCGACGAUCUGUAGCUGGUCUGAGAGGACGACCAGCCACACUGGGACUGAGACACGGCCCAGACUCCUACGGGAGGCAGCAGUGGGGAAUUUUGGACAAAGGGCGAAAGCCUGAUCCAGCAAUGCCGCGUGUGUGAUGAAGGCCUUCGGGUUGUAAAGCACUUUUGGCGGGAACGAAAAGGACUGUGCCAAUACCACGGUUCGAUGACGGUACCCGCAGAAUAAGCACCGGCUAACUACAUG
This 484-nucleotide ribosomal RNA is filed under the name uncultured bacterium. RNAcentral's name for it is "partial 16S ribosomal RNA". It matches the Rfam family "Bacterial small subunit ribosomal RNA", at positions 29 to 507 of the family's 1533-position model. The record is from RNAcentral.